UCCGGCUUAUCACCGGCAGUCCCUCCAGAGUGCCCGGCCGAACCGCUGGCAACUGAAGGCGAGGGUUGCGCUCGUUGCGGGACUUAACCCAACAUCUCACGACACGAGCUGACGACAGCCAUGCAGCACCUGUGUUCCGGUUCCCUUUCGGGCACCCCCGCCUUUCAGCAGGCUUCCGGACAUGUCAAGGGUAGGUAAGGUUUUUCGCGUUGCAUCGAAUUAAACCACAUCAUCCACCGCUUGUGCGGGUCCCCGUCAAUUCCUUUGAGUUUUAGCCUUGCGGCCGUACUCCCCAGGCGGGGCACUUAAUGCGUUAGCUACGGUACGGAAAACGUGGAAUGUCCCCCACACCUAGUGCCCAACGUUUACGGCAUGGACUAC
Molecule: unclassified non-coding RNA, 381 nt
Filed under: uncultured bacterium
Lineage: Bacteria
Description: contains 16S-23S intergenic spacer region
Source: RNAcentral